RNAcentral lists this ribosomal RNA (439 nucleotides) under uncultured bacterium. Its description in RNAcentral is "bacterial SSU rRNA". It matches the Rfam family "Bacterial small subunit ribosomal RNA", at positions 28 to 479 of the family's 1533-position model. The record is from RNAcentral.
GACGAACGCUGGCGGCGUGCUUAACACAUGCAAGUCGAACGGAAAGGCCCAGCUUGCUGGGUACUCGAGUGGCGAACGGGUGAGUAACACGUGGGUGAUCUGCCCUGCACUCUGGGAUAAGCCUGGGAAACUGGGUCUAAUACCGGAUAUGACCAACUGUCGCAUGGUGGUUGGUGGAAAGCUUUUGCGGUGUGGGAUGGGCCCGCGGCCUAUCAGCUUGUUGGUGGGGUAAUGGCCUACCAAGGCGACGACGGGUAGCCGACCUGAGAGGGUGAUCGGCCACACUGGGACUGAGACACGGCCCAGACUCCUACGGGAGGCAGCAGUGGGGAAUAUUGCACAAUGGGCGCAAGCCUGAUGCAGCGACGCCGCGUGAGGGAUGACGGCCUUCGGUUGUAAACCUACUUUCACCUACGGACGAAGCGUGAGUGACGGUACC